UGGCUCAGUAACACGUGGAGAAUCUAACCUUUGGUGGAGGAUAACCUCGGGAAACUGAGAAUAAUACUCCAUAAACAUAGGAUGCUGGAAUGCUUCUAUGUUGAAAGGCAACGCCAAAGGAUGACUCUGCGACCUAUCAGGCUGUAGUGAGUGUAAUGGACUCACUAACCUGCAACGGGUACGGGUGUUGGAAGACAUUGCCCAGAGAUGGACUCUGAGACAUGAGUCCAGGUUCUACGGAACGCAGCAGGCGCGAAAACUCCGCAAUGUACGAAAGUACGACGGGGGAAUUCUGAGUGCUUACGCCUUGCGUAGGCUGUUUUCUUGUCUAAAAAACAAGGAGAGUAAGGGCUGGGUAAGACGGGUGCCAUCUCGUGCAAUUCUGCACUUAUUGUGUUCGUUGCACGAAGCACAAGCCGCCGCGGUAAUACCCGCGGCCCGAGUGGUGCUCAUUAUUAUUGAGCCUAAAACGUCCGUAGCCGGUUUAAUAAAUUCUUGGGUAAAUCAUAUCGCUUAACGAUAUGAAUUCUGAGAACACUGCUAAACUCGGGAAUGGGAGAGGCCAGAGGUACUUUCAGGGUAGGGGUAAAAUCCCGUAAUCCUGAGAGGACCACCGGUGGCGUAGGCGUCUGGCUAGAACAUAUUCGACGGUAAGGGACGAAGCCCUGGGGCGCAAACGGGAUUAGAUACCCCGGUAGUCCAGGGUGUAAACGCUGUAGAUUUGGUGUUGGAAAUCCUACGGGGAUUCCCAGUGCCGGAGAGAAGUUGUUAAAUCUACUGCUUGGGGAGUACGGUCGCAAGACUGAAACUUAAAGGAAUUGGCGGGGGAGCACCGCAACGGGUGGAGCGUGCGGUUUAAUUGGAUUCAACGCCGAGAAACUCACCGGGGGCGACCAUUAUAUGAA
Molecule: ribosomal RNA, 905 nt
Filed under: uncultured archaeon
Lineage: Archaea
Description: bacterial SSU rRNA
Rfam family: Archaeal small subunit ribosomal RNA
Source: RNAcentral